CGCGGCCUAUCAGCUUGUUGGUGAGGUAAUGGCUCACCAAGGCGACGACGGGUAGCCGGCCUGAGAGGGUGACCGGCCACACUGGGACUGAGACACGGCCCAGACUCCUACGGGAGGCAGCAGUGGGGAAUAUUGCACAAUGGGCGAAAGCCUGAUGCAGCGACGCCGCGUGAGGGAUGACGGCCUUCGGGUUGUAAACCUCUUUCAGCAGGGAAGAAGCCACAAGUGACGGUACCUGCAGAAGAAGCGCCGGCUAACUACGUGCCAGCAGCCGCGGUAAUACGUAGGGCGCAAGCGUUGUCCGGAAUUAUUGGGCGUAAAGAGCUCGUAGGCGGUUUGUCGCGUCUGCUGUGAAAGCCCGGGGCUUAACCCCGGGUGUGCAGUGGGUACGGGCAGACUAGAGUGCAGUAGGGGAGACUGGAAUUCCUGGUGUAGCGGUGGAAUGCGCAGAUAUCAGGAGGAACACCGAUGGCGAAGGCAGGUCUCUGGGCUGUUACUGACGCUGAGGAGCGAAAGCAUGGGGAGCGAACAGGAUUAGAUACCCUGGUAGUCCAUGCCGUAAACGUUGGGCACUAGGUGUGGGGGACAUUCCACGUUUUCCGCGCCGUAGCUAACGCAUUAAGUGCCCCGCCUGGGGAGUACGG
Molecule: ribosomal RNA, 644 nt
Filed under: uncultured marine bacterium
Lineage: Bacteria
Also listed under: 1 other name
Description: bacterial SSU rRNA
Rfam family: Bacterial small subunit ribosomal RNA
Source: RNAcentral